CAAGUCGAACGGUAGCACAGAGGAGCUUGCUCCUUGGGUGACGAGUGGCGGACGGGUGAGUAAUGUCUGGGGAUCUGCCCGAUGGAGGGGGAUAACUACUGGAAACGGUAGCUAAUACCGCAUAACGUCGCAAGACCAAAGUGGGGGACCUUCGGGCCUCACACCAUCGGAUGAACCCAGAUGGGAUUAGCUAGUAGGUGGGGUAAUGGCUCACCUAGGCGACGAUCCCUAGCUGGUCUGAGAGGAUGACCAGCCACACUGGAACUGAGACACGGUCCAGACUCCUACGGGAGGCAGCAGUGGGGAAUAUUGCACAAUGGGCGCAAGCCUGAUGCAGCCAUGCCGCGUGUAUGAAGAAGGCCUUCGGGUUGUAAAGUACUUUCAGCGGGGAGGAAGGGAUGAUGUUUAAUACGCAUCGUCAUUGACGUUACCCGCAGAAGAAGCACCGGCUAACUCCGUGCCAGCAGCCGCGGUAAUACGGAGGGUGCAAGCGUUAAUCGGAAUUACUGGGCGUAAAGCGCACGCAUGCGGUCUGUCCAGUCGGAUGUGAAAUCCCCGGGCUUAACCUGGGAACUGCAUUCGAAACUGGCAGGCUAGAGUCUUGUACAGGGGGGUAGAAUUCCAGGUGUAGCGC
RNAcentral lists this ribosomal RNA (634 nucleotides) under Erwinia sp. ADP3. RNAcentral describes it as "bacterial SSU rRNA". It matches the Rfam family "Bacterial small subunit ribosomal RNA", at positions 58 to 681 of the family's 1533-position model. The record is from RNAcentral. Lineage: Bacteria; Pseudomonadati; Pseudomonadota; Gammaproteobacteria; Enterobacterales; Erwiniaceae.